RNAcentral lists this ribosomal RNA (274 nucleotides) under uncultured bacterium. RNAcentral's name for it is "partial 16S ribosomal RNA". It matches the Rfam family "Bacterial small subunit ribosomal RNA", at positions 523 to 796 of the family's 1533-position model. The record is from RNAcentral.
AUACGGAGGGGGCUAGCGUUGUUCGGAAUUACUGGGCGUAAAGCGCGCGUAGGCGGACCAGUCAGUCAGGGGUGAAAUCCCGGGGCUCAACCCCGGAACUGCCUUUGAUACUGCUGGUCUUGAGUUCGAGAGAGGUGAGUGGAAUUCCGAGUGUAGAGGUGAAAUUCGUAGAUAUUCGGAGGAACACCAGUGGCGAAGGCGGCUCACUGGCUCGAUACUGACGCUGAGGUACGAAAGUGUGGGGAGCAAACAGCAUUAGAAACCCUAGUAGUCC